Molecule: ribosomal RNA, 253 nt
Filed under: uncultured bacterium
Lineage: Bacteria
Description: partial 16S ribosomal RNA
Rfam family: Bacterial small subunit ribosomal RNA
Source: RNAcentral
UACGGAGGGGGCUAGCGUUGUUCGGAAUUACUGGGCGUAAAGCGCGCGUAGGCGGCUUUGUAAGUUAGAGGUGAAAGCCCGGAGCUCAACUCCGGAACUGCCUUUAAGACUGCAUCGCUAGAAUCAUGGAGAGGUGAGUGGAAUUCCGAGUGUAGAGGUGAAAUUCGUAGAUAUUCGGAAGAACACCAGUGGCGAAGGCGGCUCACUGGACUGGUAUUGACGCUGAGGUGCGAAAGCGUGGGGAGCAAACAGG